This 1728-nucleotide long non-coding RNA is filed under the name Sus scrofa (pig). RNAcentral describes it as "lncRNA (ENSSSCG00065010674.1)". The record is from RNAcentral. Lineage: Eukaryota; Metazoa; Chordata; Mammalia; Artiodactyla; Suidae.
CACUGACCUAUUUGUCUAGUACUGUGUCAGCACAGUAUGGUUUUCAUUACAAUCAUCUACAAUUAAGUAUAGUCAAAAUCUGGAAUAGCAAGUACCCCCACAAUAUACUUCUUAUUCCUAAAGUUCUUAGCAAUGUAUACACACACCUGCACACACACAUACACACAGUUUUCUAAAUAAAUUUGAAAUCAUAUCACUUCCUACAAACUUUGGAAUUAUUUUAGCUAGUUUCCACAAAAACACCAAGGGCAUUCUGAUUACAAGCAGCUUAAACUCAAAUGUUAUUUCAAGUAUUACCUUACUGACAAUAAGCCUGGAGUCCCAGAACAAAAUAUUUAUUUGCAUUUAAUUCAUGUAUGUGUGUAUGUGUGUUCUUAUGUACAUAUUUUUAGUUUCCUGUGUCUGUGUGUCCUUAUGUAUAUAUUUUUAGUUUCUUUCCCCUAUAGGACCUAUAACUUUCUUAUUUAUUCCUUCUUAAUUCAUAUAUGUUAUUACUGUAAAUGGAUUUUUUCAUUUACCAAUAGUUGAUAGUGUAAAGAAAUGCUAUUGACCUUUAUAUAUUUGUAUUAUAUCCACUCACUGUAACAUACUUUUAGAAAUAUAGCUCAUAUUUUAUAAAAUCCAGUCUCCUGGGUUUUCUCAAUAUACAUGUAAUCAUCCUAUUCAAUGAUUUUUUUAAAUUUUUCAAAAAUGUGUAUAAUAUUGUUUAUUUUAUUCAUUUUGACCUAUUUUAUGAACUAGAAUCACCAGAUCAAAUUCAAAAAUUUUGAAGAAUUAAAAUGCUUGAUAAUUUUCUUUUCUGUUGUUUUGUUUUUUCUUUAUUCUUUUUAUUUUUUAUUUAUUUUAAUUUUAUUUUUUUAUUGUUAUUUCCCCAAUACACUGUCAUAUGCAUUAACUUAAGUAUUGCCCACGGUUGCUUUCACAAUGCAAUUGCAGAGCUGAGUAGCUGUAAUAGACAUUUUGCCCCCCAAAACCCAAAAUACAUGUUAUCUGGUCCAUCACAAAAAGCAAAAAAUUGAAGACUCUUCUUUGUGUUCAUCUUUCCCCCUACUAUUUCUAAAGGAUUUUUGUGGGGGAUGGAAGAGGGAUAAAUUAGGAGUUUGGGAUUAACAGAUACAAAUCACAGCAUAGAAAGUAGAUAAACACCAAGGUCCUACUAUAUAGUACAGGGAAUUAUAUUCAAUGUCCUGUAAUAAACCAUAAUGAAAAAAAUACGAAAAAGAAUAUACAUAAAUGUAUACAUGUAUAUGCGUAUAUGUGUGUGUGUGUGUUUAUACAUAUAACUGAAUCACUUUGCUGAACACCGGAAACUAACAUGACAUUUUAAAUAAACUAUCCUUCAAUUUUAAAAAAAGGGCUUUUUCCUACUUGAACUCUGUAUCCUUAAAAAGAAAUUUGGAAAUGGGUCACCUUCCUAAUCCCAUUUUAUACAUGGUAAAACUAUCUGAAUACACUAAGUUUGUAAGUAUUUAACCAAGAUUUCAACUCCCAAAAGUCUAGACCUGAGCUCACACUUAGGAGACUUUCAUCAAUAUUCCUAUAGCACUUAAAACCCUAUAUUAAUUUUUGGUUAUAUAUUUUUUAAUAGACCUCAGCCAUUUGAGUGCAGAGGUCUUACUCCAUUGUUUUACCAAGACCAACAUCAAGAAUAUACAAGCUUCCUUAGAUUUCAUCGCCUCAAAUGAAUCUCCCCCUAGACUGGAAGUUCUCAAUCAGAAAUGAUACUGC